Molecule: long non-coding RNA, 565 nt
Organism: Rhinopithecus roxellana (golden snub-nosed monkey)
Lineage: Eukaryota; Metazoa; Chordata; Mammalia; Primates; Cercopithecidae
Exons: 4
Source: RefSeq, a predicted model, not a curated record
UGCUGGAUGGAUGCUAGAGAUGGACAUCUGCUCUCUGUCUGCUCAGCACCUGUGGGAGACGUGGCUGCUGUCCACCAGAGGCUUAGGUUUCCCUCCCGUUGUGCAGAGUGGCUGCUGGGAAUGGUCGCCCAGCCAGAUGGGGUUUUGCCAAGUUUCCCAGGCUGGUCUCGAACUCCUGAGCUCAAGCAAUCUGCCUGCCUUAGGCUCCCAAAGUGCUGGGAUUACAGGCAUAAGCCACCAGGCCUGGCUUAGUGUUCGAAAUUUAGAAGCCACUUGUUGAAGCUGGCACAGAUACAGAAGAGAAGAAACCCAUUUCCUCAAAUCACUGCUUCAAAGAAAGCUGCCGGAUCAAGAACACACAGAUUAUGUAAAUUGCGGAUUUCUUCUUGGUUUGGAUCCGUUGCUGGCAAUCUCAAAUGUACAUAAAAGUUGCAAUUAUACUGUUUGGACGAACGGAGGCAAGAUGGUGCACUUCCGGGUUCUUCUUCACCAACUUUUCCCGUGCGCGGGAAAAUGCAGCCGGCGCCCGGGAAGGUGCAGACCAACUGGGCAUGCGCCAGGUGAC